AUCGCGAUAAUUUGCAUGUGUUGCUAUUCAAAAUUAACGUUAACAGCUGUUGUGUUACAAAAGACAGAAGAGAAAGCAAAUUGACAGAAGAAGGUGUGGUCUAGGAUCUCGCUUAUCAGCCUAAUAAAUAAACAAACUCAAAAUUUCAGAGUCUUGGCUUUCCUCAAGGAUUCAUCUGUCCUUUGUACCAUCCAUCCUCCCCUCUAUUCUGACAAGCUUCCCAGUCCCUGCUGAGGAGAAACAUCCCCAUA
Polyodon spathula (Mississippi paddlefish) is the source of this 251-nucleotide long non-coding RNA. RefSeq lists it as uncharacterized. Lineage: Eukaryota; Metazoa; Chordata; Actinopteri; Acipenseriformes; Polyodontidae. The transcript has 3 exons. The record is from RefSeq and is a predicted model, not a curated record.